Molecule: small nuclear RNA, 247 nt
Filed under: Erinaceus europaeus (western European hedgehog)
Lineage: Eukaryota; Metazoa; Chordata; Mammalia; Eulipotyphla; Erinaceidae
Description: 7SK RNA
Rfam family: 7SK RNA
About the family: 7SK was discovered as an abundant small nuclear RNA in the mid-70s but a possible function has only recently been suggested.
Source: Rfam by way of RNAcentral
GGAGUGAAGGUGAUCUGGCUGCAACAUCUUCGAAUCGCCAGGGUUGUUUCGGCUCAUCAGGCUGACUAGGCGGGUGUCCCCUUCCUCCCUCACCGCUCCAUGUGUGUCCCUCCCGAAGCCGUGUGCUUGGUCAAAGAGGACGGCCUUGGGUCGAGAGUAUCUGAGUAGCUGUGUUCCCCUGAGAGAACCUCCAAAGAAGCUCUCAAAAAAAAAAAUGAAGAAGACAGAAAUAAGGAAGGAAGGAAGA